UACAUAGGGUGCAAGCGUUAAUCGGAAUUACUGGGCGUAAAGCGUGCGCAGGCGGUGAUGUAAGACAGAUGUGAAAUCCCCGGGCUUAACCUGGGAACUGCAUUUGUGACUGCAUCGCUGGAGUGCGGCAGAGGGGGAUGGAAUUCCGCGUGUAGCAGUGAAAUGCGUAGAUAUGCGGAGGAACACCGAUGGCGAAGGCAAUCCCCUGGGCCUGCACUGACGCUCAUGCACGAAAGCGUGGGGAGCAAACAGG
This 253-nucleotide ribosomal RNA is filed under the name uncultured bacterium. RNAcentral's name for it is "partial 16S ribosomal RNA". It matches the Rfam family "Bacterial small subunit ribosomal RNA", at positions 524 to 776 of the family's 1533-position model. The record is from RNAcentral.